AGUUAUAUAGUUUUAAAAAAAAAUAUUAAUUUUGUAAAUUAAUGAUAAAUAAUAAAUUUUUAUAACUU
This 68-nucleotide transfer RNA is filed under the name Dolichogenidea sp. n. SNS-2016. RNAcentral's name for it is "tRNA-Thr". Lineage: Eukaryota; Metazoa; Arthropoda; Insecta; Hymenoptera; Braconidae. The record is from RNAcentral.